GCCCGGUGGUCGUGGCGCGCUGCACGCGGUCAGCUUUACCUCCCAGUCGCCCAACCAGCCUCCAUCAUCGUUGUACUCCAGCGCCCAGCGCCGCCUCCGACACACAACGGCCAUGCCCACGCCACGGACGAGUGAGGUCCGCGUGAGGAGUUCAGCUAUCGAGCAAGAGCCAGUUCCAGGGGAGGUGCAUCAGGGAAAGUUUCAUGCUGCUUGCAGGCGAGCGGCCAUAUCCAGGCGAGGUGUGGAGUUCGUCGGUGAGGCUGUCUCCCCUUCUGCGCAAUCUGGUCCAGAGAUAUCGAAUCCUUCCUGAUUUGGCUUCCUUUCUGCCCUCCACUCUUCUCUGGAGGUACGUCGACGAGCACGAACUCCACCACGGUUUACUGCUCAAUUUUUGCUGAACUUUACCUUUGCAUCUAUCUGAACUUCUUUUUAUUACAAAGUUCUUCCUUUUAUACUCGACGGCGUCGUCACAGCUCUGGGUUCAGCCGCCGAGCCCCAUGUACCUCUAUUAUGAGGGCAUACCAGACUCUGCACAAGCUCUGAGGAACUGCAACCACUUCUACUAGGUGCCCUGCCACUCCCAAGCUUACAAGUAAAGGUAGGAGGCUGAUUAGCCACUAGACUAGACUAUGGCUUGCUCCUUAAAAAUUAGUCACUAGACUGUAUUUGUAGGUAUUGUGUGGUGCCGUUUGACACAUCUUAAUAUCAUGGUUUACUAUAGAAUGGCCAUUAAAUAUGUACAGUACUUUUUCCAAAAACAGAAUUGGUCCAAUUGUAAUUUUCUUGUUGCUUUCAGAGUUUGAAGCUUGGUGCCGACUAGCCUGAUACCAGUACUGAAAAAUUCUGAUUUGGUCA
RNAcentral lists this long non-coding RNA (855 nucleotides) under Triticum aestivum (bread wheat). Its description in RNAcentral is "long non-coding RNA (TAES_LNC022034)". The record is from RNAcentral. Lineage: Eukaryota; Viridiplantae; Streptophyta; Magnoliopsida; Poales; Poaceae.